GACGAACGCUGGCGGCGUGCCUAAUACAUGCAAGUAGAACGCUGAAGAGAGGAGCUUGCUCUUCUUGGAUGAGUUGCGAACGGGUGAGUAACGCGUAGGUAACCUGCCUGGUAGCGGGGGAUAACUAUUGGAAACGAUAGCUAAUACCGCAUAGAAUGGAUUAUCGCAUGAUAAUCCAUUGAAAGGUGCAAAUGCAUCACUACCAGAUGGACCUGCGUUGUAUUAGCUAGUUGGUGGGGUAACGGCUCACCAAGGCGACGAUACAUAGCCGACCUGAGAGGGUGAUCGGCCACACUGGGACUGAGACACGGCCCAGACUCCUACGGGAGGAAGCAGUAGGGAAUCUUCGGCAAUAGACGGAAGUCUGACCGAGCAACGCCGCGUGAGUGAAGAAGGUUUUCGGAUCGUAAAGAUCUGUUGUAAGAGAAGAACGAGUGUGAGAGUGGAAAGUUCACACUGUGACGGUAUCUUACCAGAAAGGGACGGCUAACUACGUG
RNAcentral lists this ribosomal RNA (497 nucleotides) under uncultured bacterium. RNAcentral's name for it is "partial 16S ribosomal RNA". It matches the Rfam family "Bacterial small subunit ribosomal RNA", at positions 28 to 507 of the family's 1533-position model. The record is from RNAcentral.